AUUGAACGCUGGCGGCAUGCUUUACACAUGCAAGUCGAACGGCGGCGCGGGGCAACCUGGCGGCGAGUGGCGAACGGGUGAGUAAUACAUCGGAACGUACCCAGAAGUGGGGGAUAACGUAGCGAAAGUUACGCUAAUACCGCAUACGUUCUACGGAAGAAAGUGGGGGACCUUCGGGCCUCAUGCUUUUGGAGCGGCCGAUGUCUGAUUAGCUAGUUGGUGAGGUAAAGGCUCACCAAGGCGACGAUCAGUAGCUGGUCUGAGAGGACGACCAGCCACACUGGGACUGAGACACGGCCCAGACUCCUACGGGAGGCAGCAGUGGGGAAUUUUGGACAAUGGGCGCAAGCCUGAUCCAGCAAUGCCGCGUGAGUGAAGAAGGCCUUCGGGUUGUAAAGCUCUUUUGUCAGGGAAGAAACGGCUGAGGAUAAUACCUUCGGCUAAUGACGGUACCUGAAGAAUAAGCACCGGCUAACUACGUG
Molecule: ribosomal RNA, 482 nt
Filed under: uncultured bacterium
Lineage: Bacteria
Description: partial 16S ribosomal RNA
Rfam family: Bacterial small subunit ribosomal RNA
Source: RNAcentral